CCUACGGGAGGCAGCAGUGGGGAAUAUUGGACAAUGGGGGCAACCCUGAUCCAGCCAUGCCGCGUGUGUGAAGAAGGCCCUCGGGUUGUAAAGCACUUUCAGUGAGGAAGAACGCCUGGUGGUUAAUACCCAUCAGGAAAGACAUCACUCACAGAAGAAGCACCGGCUAACUCCGUGCCAGCAGCCGCGGUAAUACGGAGGGUGCGAGCGUUAAUCGGAAUUACUGGGCGUAAAGCGCGCGUAGGUGGCUUGAUAAGCCGGUUGUGAAAGCCCCGGGCUCAACCUGGGAACGGCAUCCGGAACUGUCAAGCUAGAGUGCAGGAGAGGAAGGUAGAAUUCCCGGUGUAGCGGUGAAAUGCGUAGAGAUCGGGAGGAAUACCAGUGGCGAAGGCGGCCUUGUGGACUGACACUGACACUGAGGUGCGAAAGCGUGGGUAGCAAACAGGAUUAGCUACCCUAGUAGUC
Molecule: ribosomal RNA, 465 nt
Filed under: Vreelandella stevensii
Lineage: Bacteria; Pseudomonadati; Pseudomonadota; Gammaproteobacteria; Oceanospirillales; Halomonadaceae
Description: partial 16S ribosomal RNA
Rfam family: Bacterial small subunit ribosomal RNA
Source: RNAcentral